Molecule: ribosomal RNA, 255 nt
Filed under: uncultured bacterium
Lineage: Bacteria
Description: partial 16S ribosomal RNA
Rfam family: Bacterial small subunit ribosomal RNA
Source: RNAcentral
UACGUAGGGUGCAAGCGUUGUCCGGAAUUAUUGGGCGUAAAGAGCUCGUAGGCGGUUUGUCGCGUCUGCUGUGAAAUCCCCGGGCUCAACCUGGGAAUGGCAGUGGAUACUGGCAAGCUAGAGUGCGGUAGAGGGUAGUGGAAUUCCCGGUGUAGCGGUGAAAUGCGUAGAGAUCGGGAGGAACACCAGUGGCGAAGGCGGCUACCUGGACCAGCACUGACACUCAGGCACGAAAGCGUGGGGGAGCAAACAGGG